RNAcentral lists this small nucleolar RNA (132 nucleotides) under Mus pahari (shrew mouse). RNAcentral describes it as "predicted gene, 23528 (MGP_PahariEiJ_G0034696.1)". It matches the Rfam family "Small nucleolar RNA SNORA17". From Rfam's summary of the family: snoRNA ACA 17 belongs to the H/ACA family of snoRNAs and is predicted to guide pseudouridylation of the 28S rRNA at positions U4659 and U4598. It shares the same host gene together with ACA43. Lineage: Eukaryota; Metazoa; Chordata; Mammalia; Rodentia; Muridae. The record is from RNAcentral.
CUUGCCCUUAGAAGCCUUGCAGGUUUGGCUGCUGUGUCACAUGUGCAUCAGUAGGUGGCAGAGAGGAGAGAGGCUAUGUCUGCUCUCAGUGUUUUGACCAAUUAACUUCUAAAUGAUUAGUAGCCUAACAUU